CCUGGUUGAUUCUGCCAGUAGUCAUAUGCUUGUCUUAAAGAUUAAGCCAUGCAUGUCUAAGUAUAAGCAAUUAUACAGCGAAACUGCGAAUGGCUCAUUAAAUCAGUUAUCGUUUAUUUGAUAGUACCUUACUACAUGGAUAACCGUGGUAAUUCUAGGGCUAAUACAUGCUAAAAACCCCGACUUCGGAAGGGGUGUAUUUAUUAGAUUAAAAACCAAUGCCCUUCGGGGCUCACUGGUGAUUCAUGAUAACUUCUCGAAUCGCACGGCCUUGCGCCGGCGAUGGUUCAUUCAAAUUUCUGCCCUAUCAACUUUCGACGGCUGGGUCUUGGCCAGCCGUGGUGACAACGGGUAACGGAGGGUUAGGGCUCGACCCCGGAGAAAACGCCUGAGAAACGGCGUUUACAUCCAAGGAAGGCAGCAGGCGCGCAAAUUACCCAAUGCCGACACGGCGAGGUAGUGACGAGAAAUACUGAUACAGGGCUCUUUUGGGUCUUGUAAUUGGAAUGAGUACAAUUUAAAUCUCUUAACGAAGAACAAUUGGAGGGCAAGUCUGGUGCCAGCAGCCGCGGUAAUUCCAGCUCCAAUAGCGUAUAUUAAAGUUGUUGCAGUUAAAAAGCUCGUAGUUGAACCUUGGGCCUGUCUGGCCGGUCCGCCUCACCGCGUGCACUGGUCCGGCCGGGCCUUUCCCUCUGGGGAACCGCAUGCCCUUCACUGGGCGUGUCGGGGAACCAGGACUUUUACUUUGAAAAAAUUAGAGUGUUCAAAGCAGGCCUAUGCUCGAAUACAUUAGCAUGGAAUAAUAGAAUAGGACGUGUGGUUCUAUUUUGUUGGUUUCUAGGACCGCCGUAAUGAUUAAUAGGGACAGUCGGGGGCAUCAGUAUUCAAUUGUCAGAGGUGAAAUUCUUGGAUUUAUUGAAGACUAACUACUGCGAAAGCAUUUGCCAAGGAUGUUUUCAUUAAUCAGGAACGAAAGUUAGGGGAUCGAAGAAGAUCAGAUACCGUCGUAGUCUUAACCAUAACUAUGCCGACUAGGGAUCGGACGGUG
RNAcentral lists this ribosomal RNA (1048 nucleotides) under Pyricularia oryzae. RNAcentral's name for it is "SSU rRNA". It matches the Rfam family "Eukaryotic small subunit ribosomal RNA", at positions 3 to 1062 of the family's 1831-position model. Lineage: Eukaryota; Fungi; Ascomycota; Sordariomycetes; Magnaporthales; Pyriculariaceae. The record is from RNAcentral.